This 73-nucleotide transfer RNA is filed under the name Orbicella faveolata. RNAcentral's name for it is "tRNA-Tyr". It matches the Rfam family "tRNA". From Rfam's summary of the family: Transfer RNA (tRNA) molecules are approximately 80 nucleotides in length. Their secondary structure includes four short double-helical elements and three loops (D, anti-codon, and T loops). Lineage: Eukaryota; Metazoa; Cnidaria; Anthozoa; Scleractinia; Merulinidae. The record is from RNAcentral.
CCUUCGAUAGCUCAGUUGGUAGAGCGGAGGACUGUAGAUCCUUAGGUCGCUGGUUCGAAUCCGGUUCGAAGCA